GGGGAGGAGGACCGCGAGCUGAAAGUGAGGAGGUAGCCGACAACCGUUGGGAGGGUAAAACGGUCGGACCGAGAGACACUGCGUAGGAGAGCCCGGACUGAGAGGUAGCACCGGAGGAGGUCGGGACAUGGAGAGACCCCAGACGCGACUACGAGGAGAAACGGAGCGGGGAGCACCAAGGCUGUGAAAGGCGCCGGCUUGCGGAGAAGCAACAAAUGCCGGAGAGUAAUGGCCCUUACCUGAUUGUCCGGCCAUCGGUGCGGAUCCCCGUAUGACCACUGCAGCUUAAAUAGUGCGUCAGAGGUGCAGGGUGUGUAACACCAACUGCUGAUGGAUGCCUGAUAACUACAUUGACAAAAUCUACAGACUUCCUUCCAGCACUAGCAGCAUUCCUCUGUGCAGCUCCUGACAUUGCGGGUGAUGAUUUCAAUUUACAGAAUUUUAAAGCUAUAUAUGAUCAGUUGAAAGUAGCUCUUAAUACUGGUCUCAAGCAAUGUCCGACUAGGGCAUGACAUCUGAUUAGCACAGGCCAAUGGAGGAGGUACUGAGACUGAAUGAAGGGGAAGAAGACUGAGAGCCUCCGGCCCUCCCCCAGGUGACGGCGUCCCUGGCAACGGACAGACAACUGCAGCCAGACAUGGAGCAAAUACGGGGCGGGUGACGUCAGCACGCCGCCAGCCGUGACCGGAAAUGCAGCGGAGGAUGAUGUCCGGACCCAGGGAGACGCCAGCAUGGGGCAGACGGGGGCUGUCUUACACCACACCGUUCACCUAUUUAAGGCAUGUCACUUACCAGUGUUUUUUUGUUUAGUUUGUUGUGUUUCACGUACAGCAUAGCACCUUGAGGAAAACGCCGUCAGGGCGUUGAAACGUCGGUGUACCACUAUGCUUGUUUGAUGUAUUUGCUGUGAUUAUUACACAUUUGGCUUUUCUAAAAA
This is a long non-coding RNA of Pseudophryne corroboree (corroboree frog), 937 nucleotides long. RefSeq lists it as uncharacterized. The transcript is spliced from 6 exons. The record is from RefSeq and is a predicted model, not a curated record. NCBI's taxonomy places the organism in Eukaryota, Metazoa, Chordata, Amphibia, Anura, Myobatrachidae.